Long non-coding RNA from Asparagus officinalis (garden asparagus), 236 nucleotides. RefSeq lists it as uncharacterized. The record is from RefSeq and is a predicted model, not a curated record. Lineage: Eukaryota; Viridiplantae; Streptophyta; Magnoliopsida; Asparagales; Asparagaceae. The transcript is spliced from 3 exons.
UUAAUUAAUUAUAUUAUCUCAAAAAUGGUCAAGUUUCCUUCGUUUUUGCUGUGCUCGGCUCUUGCUGCUUUUGCUCUGUUCUUAGUUGUGGAUGCACGUUUAUUAGGGUGCAAAGGUGGCUUGGACUGUUUGAACCCUGAGAUGGCUUCUUCACCAAAGUAUAAAGAUGAGAAGGUCUCUGCUGUGCCGCCGGAGCUUGCUAAGGGUGUGAAGCCGUCGGAGGGAGGGAGGAGUGC